RNAcentral lists this transfer RNA (75 nucleotides) under Abditibacteriota bacterium. RNAcentral's name for it is "tRNA-Gly". It matches the Rfam family "tRNA". From Rfam's summary of the family: Transfer RNA (tRNA) molecules are approximately 80 nucleotides in length. Their secondary structure includes four short double-helical elements and three loops (D, anti-codon, and T loops). The record is from RNAcentral. Lineage: Bacteria; Pseudomonadati; Abditibacteriota.
GCGGGAGUAGCUCUGUGGUAGAGCGCCACCUUGCCAAGGUGGAUGUCGCGGGUUCAAGUCCCGUCUCCCGCUCCA